AAUGAUCUAAAAGAUACUCAAUAGCGUAUAUUAAAGUUGUUGCAGUUAAAAAGCUCGUAGUUGAACCUUGGGCCUGGCUGGCCGGUCCGCCUCACCGCGAGUACUGGUCCGGCUGGACCUUUCCUUCUGGGGAACCUCAUGGCCUUCACUGGCUGUGGGGGGAACCAGGACUUUUACUGUGAAAAAAUUAAAGUGUUCAAACCAGGCCUUUGCUCGAAUACAUUACCAUGGAAUAAUAAAAUAGGACGUGCGGUUCUAUUUUGUUGGUUUCUAGGACCGCCGUAAUGAUUAAUAGGGAUAGUCGGGGGCGUCAGUAUUCAGCUGUCAGAGGUGAAAUUCUUGGAUUUGCUGAAGACUAACUACUGCGAAAGCAUUCGCCAAGGAUGUUUUCAUUAAUCAGGAAACAAAAUUUAGGGGAUCAAAAACAAUCAAAUACCGUCGUAUUCUUAACCAUAAACUAUGCCAACUAGGGAUCGGA
This 478-nucleotide ribosomal RNA is filed under the name uncultured Aspergillus. RNAcentral describes it as "SSU rRNA". It matches the Rfam family "Eukaryotic small subunit ribosomal RNA", at positions 527 to 1057 of the family's 1831-position model. The record is from RNAcentral. Lineage: Eukaryota; Fungi; Ascomycota; Eurotiomycetes; Eurotiales; Aspergillaceae.